This is a small nuclear RNA of Phyllostomus hastatus (greater spear-nosed bat), 164 nucleotides long. RefSeq annotates it as U1 spliceosomal RNA. The record is from RefSeq and is a predicted model, not a curated record. The transcript has a single exon. NCBI's taxonomy places the organism in Eukaryota, Metazoa, Chordata, Mammalia, Chiroptera, Phyllostomidae.
GUACUUACCUGACAGGGGAGAUGCCAUGAUCAUGAAGGUGGUUUUCCCAGGGCGAGCCUCACCCACUGCACUCUGGGUGUGCUGACCCCUCCAAUUUCCCCAAAUGCGGGAAACUUGACCGCAUAGUUUGUGGUAGUGGGGGGCUGCGUCUGCACUCUCCCCUG